This 424-nucleotide ribosomal RNA is filed under the name Verrucomicrobiota bacterium. Its description in RNAcentral is "Verrucomicrobia bacterium partial 16S ribosomal RNA". It matches the Rfam family "Bacterial small subunit ribosomal RNA", at positions 355 to 776 of the family's 1533-position model. Lineage: Bacteria; Pseudomonadati; Verrucomicrobiota. The record is from RNAcentral.
UGAGGAAUAUUGGUCAAUGGACGAGAGUCUGAACCAGCCAAGUAGCGUGCAGGAUGACGGCCCUAUGGGUUGUAAACUGCUUUUGUUUGGGAAUAAUCGACAUUACGUGUAAUGUUUUGCAUGUACCAUUCGAAUAAGGACCGGCUAAUUCCGUGCCAGCAGCCACGGUAAUACGGAAGGUCCAGGCGUUAUCCGGAUUUAUUGGGUUUAAAGGGAGUGUAGGCGGUUGGUUAAGCGUGUUGUGAAAUGUAGAUGCUCAACAUCUGACUUGCAGCGCGAACUGGCUGACUUGAGUACACACAACGUAGGCGGAAUUCAUGGUGUAGCGGUGAAAUGCUUAGAUAUCAUGAAGAACUCCGAUUGCGAAGGCAGCUUACGGGAGUGUUACUGACGCUUAAGCUCGAAGGUGCGGGUAUCGAACAGG